AAAAAGGCAUGAAAAAAGAGGAGGAAAAAGAAUUUGAGCUGCUAUUUCUAUUAAGAAUGGAUUACUGAGGUGCAGGGAUACAGUCACCAUGAAUGUGAAGGCUCUGCAUGGCUUUGGAGCUCCGUGUCAUUUGGAUGUGCAGAAUUGACUGUGAUUGAAGGAAGUGAAUGAGUACUUGCACAGUGUUGCUGAACGUGGUCUUUGGCAAAUGCAGAUUGCACUGUCUACAUAAUGCCUACAAAAGGUAUCAGUGUGAUGAGUGCUGCUGGGGCAGUUUAAGACAUCAUUAUUUGCACUGCCUCUCUGAGUGGGGAACUGCCUCACAGGAGAGCUGUCAGAGUGAGUGUGUGCUGAGAUCCUGCUUGACAACAAAGCCCAACUCGCAGAUGGUCGAUAACAAUGCGUUUGAGUCAAGACAUUGGAUUGUGAAGAGGAGCAGCCAAAAUGCAGGGACACAUUUUUCUCCUGCUGACUUUGCUAGAGGGAUGGGAGCUUCAGCCCUAGGUGACAGCUAACAGCUGCAGAAUGAUCGCGUCUUAAACUGAAGCAGCUGUUGCUAAGUGACUGAGCUAAAUGUGGCAUUUUAAUUUUGCAAAUUUCACAAAUUAAUUUGGUGUACAGGUUGUUAUCACCUUAGCUAUAAAUAUGUUUAUUUUCUUUUUUUUUUCCCCAUCUAUUUGCAUUUGAGACUGCCUAGCAAUAACCGGGCAACAAAAAUAGAAUCCCCAACACUGUCUGCUCUCAUUAUUGUUUCCUAGCUGAUCCUGUGAUGUGAUUUAUAUCUUGCCAUCUGAUUCCCUAAUUGCAGUUUGCAACGAUGAAGAAAACUGUACAAUGCUUGAAUUGCGAGCCUGUUUCUGUUAGAAGCACAUGAAAUACUUAUUUGAAGACCAAUCAGGAAGCAUUCAAAUCUUCCUUGGUGACGUGGGCUACUUUAGUUGUGUUGCUUGCUUCCUUCUGGAUCUCAGACAUCAGG
This is a long non-coding RNA of Lagopus muta (rock ptarmigan), 976 nucleotides long. RefSeq lists it as uncharacterized. Lineage: Eukaryota; Metazoa; Chordata; Aves; Galliformes; Phasianidae. The transcript is spliced from 3 exons. The record is from RefSeq and is a predicted model, not a curated record.